This 492-nucleotide ribosomal RNA is filed under the name uncultured bacterium. Its description in RNAcentral is "partial 16S ribosomal RNA". It matches the Rfam family "Bacterial small subunit ribosomal RNA", at positions 29 to 507 of the family's 1533-position model. The record is from RNAcentral.
AGUGAACGCUGGCGGUAGGCCUAACACAUGCAAGUCGAACGGCAGCACAGUAAGAGCUUGCUCUUACGGGUGGCGAGUGGCGGACGGGUGAGGAAUACAUCGGAAUCUACUUUUUCGUGGGGGAUAACGUAGGGAAACUUACGCUAAUACCGCAUACGACCUACGGGUGAAAGCAUGGGAUCUUCGGACCUUGCGCGAUUGAAUGAGCCGAUGUCGGAUUAGCUAGUUGGCGGGGUAAAGGCCCACCAAGGCGACGAUCCGUAGCUGGUCUGAGAGGAUGAUCAGCCACACUGGAACUGAGACACGGUCCAGACUCCUACGGGAGGCAGCAGUGGGGAAUAUUGGACAAUGGGCGCAAGCCUGAUCCAGACAUACCGCGUGGGUGAAGAAGGCCUUCGGGUUGUAAAGCCCUUUUGUUGGGAAAGAAAAGCAGCAGGUUAAUACCCCGCUGUUCUGACGGUACCCAAAGAAUAAGCACCGGCUAACUUCGUG